This 409-nucleotide ribosomal RNA is filed under the name Salmonella enterica subsp. enterica serovar Worthington str. ATCC 9607. RNAcentral's name for it is "bacterial LSU rRNA". It matches the Rfam family "Bacterial large subunit ribosomal RNA", at positions 2524 to 2925 of the family's 2925-position model. The record is from RNAcentral. Lineage: Bacteria; Pseudomonadati; Pseudomonadota; Gammaproteobacteria; Enterobacterales; Enterobacteriaceae.
CCUCGAUGUCGGCUCAUCACAUCCUGGGGCUGAAGUAGGUCCCAAGGGUAUGGCUGUUCGCCAUUUAAAGUGGUACGCGAGCUGGGUUUAGAACGUCGUGAGACAGUUCGGUCCCUAUCUGCCGUGGGCGCUGGAGAACUGAGGGGGGCUGCUCCUAGUACGAGAGGACCGGAGUGGACGCAUCACUGGUGUUCGGGUUGUCAUGCCAAUGGCACUGCCCGGUAGCUAAAUGCGGAAGAGAUAAGUGCUGAAAGCAUCUAAGCACGAAACUUGCCCCGAGAUGAGUUCUCCCUGAGACUUUAGGUCUCCUGAAGGAACGUUGAAGACGACGACGUUGAUAGGCCGGGUGUGUAAGCGCAGCGAUGCGUUGAGCUAACCGGUACUAAUGAACCGUGAGGCUUAACCUUAC